This 603-nucleotide ribosomal RNA is filed under the name fungal endophyte. RNAcentral describes it as "eukaryotic LSU rRNA". The stretch from base 191 to 344 matches the Rfam family "5.8S ribosomal RNA". Lineage: Eukaryota; Fungi. The record is from RNAcentral.
CGGAGGGAUCAUUAAAGAGUUCUAUAACUCCCAAACCCAUGUGAACAUACCUAACGUUGCCUCGGCAGGUCGCACCUACCUUGUAGCACCCUACCCUGUAGGGCCUACCCGGGAGGUGCGGGUAAGCCUGCCGGCGGCCCACCAAACUCUGUUUGAUAUUGAAUUCUGAACCUAUAACUAAAUAAGUUAAAACUUUCAACAACGGAUCUCUUGGUUCUGGCAUCGAUGAAGAACGCAGCGAAAUGCGAUAAGUAAUGUGAAUUGCAGAAUUCAGUGAAUCAUCGAAUCUUUGAACGCAUAUUGCGCCCAUUAGUAUUCUAGUGGGCAGGACCGUUCGAGCGUCAUUUCAACCCUUAAGCCUUCGUUGCUUAGUGUUGGGAGCCUACGGCAACGUAGCUCCUCAAAGUUAGUGGCGGAGUUGGUUCACACUCUAGACGUAGUAAUUUUUUAUCUCGCCUAUUAGUUGGACUAAUCCCCUGCCGUAAAACCCCCAAUUUAUCAAGGUUGACCUCGAAUCGGUUCAGACAAACUCGCUAAAUUGAAGCAUCUUAGUCAGCGAAGGAAAAGAAACCAACAGGGAUUGCCCUAGUAACGGCGAGUGAA